ACACCUCAACCCUCCAAUGUUUUUGCAUUGCGGGUGUUGGUAGUGAGCGCUGCCGGUCUUUGGAUCGGCUCGCUUUAAAAUCAUUAGCUGGAUCCAUUCUGACCUGGUUCUACUCGGCGUAAUAAGUUAUUAUCGUCGAGGACGCCUGGCCUUGUAGGCAGGGCGGCCACAGUAAGGGUGUUUGAACCGCUUCCAACACGUCUUGCUCUUGUAGCAAACACUUGAAC
RNAcentral lists this unclassified non-coding RNA (227 nucleotides) under uncultured Geminibasidium. RNAcentral's name for it is "partial internal transcribed spacer 2". Lineage: Eukaryota; Fungi; Basidiomycota; Geminibasidiomycetes; Geminibasidiales; Geminibasidiaceae. The record is from RNAcentral.